AAACUAUUACAUUUUUCCUUAAAUUAUCGAUUUUGAGAUUUAUUGUCGAAAUGAGAGCGAUUGUUGGUCAGGCUUUCCUAGCGUUAUGGUUGGGCGCCAUCACGACCGGGUUUGUGUCAUGACAUCUCUCCUUUAUUGUCAAGCGUCUCCAAUGGAAUUACAAUAGAUGAAAUCGACACCGAACAUACUCAAGCGACGGGGUUCAAACAGAAACGUAGCGACACGGGAACCUCAAAUGCAACCUCUAACGAAUUAAACCUCCGAUUCUCUACCUCAUUCGACUACUCUUGGUCAGUUUUGAACAAGAAUUAGAGAUUCAAGGGGUGGUUUGCUAGUGUGUUUUAAAAUCUGUUUCAGUUGGGCUUAUGAGCUAAAAUAAUAGUUGUGAAGGGUGAUUUGGGUGGUGCAAUGGUGGCUGUUUUUUCUGGAGUUUUUGGCCAAAUUUUAUAGUGGAAAAGAGCAGGCUGGAGACGGUGGAAAUCCGGCGAGGCGAAGGCGAAGCAGUGAGUUGACGGAAGUGGAUUUACAUGGUUUUGCUUU
Molecule: long non-coding RNA, 540 nt
Filed under: Nicotiana benthamiana
Lineage: Eukaryota; Viridiplantae; Streptophyta; Magnoliopsida; Solanales; Solanaceae
Description: long non-coding RNA (NBEN_LNC039327)
Source: RNAcentral